GUCUCCUGUGCCUGCUGUGCUGAUAAUCAGUGUGUGACGUCGGCUGGCUCAGUUCAGCAGGAACAGGGGAC
This is a non-coding RNA of Oryzias latipes (Japanese medaka), 71 nucleotides long. Lineage: Eukaryota; Metazoa; Chordata; Actinopteri; Beloniformes; Adrianichthyidae. The record is from Rfam.